GACGAACGCUGGCGGCGUGCUUAACACAUGCAAGUCGAACGGAAAGGCCCCCACCUUGGUGGGGGUGCUCGAGUGGCGAACGGGUGAGUAACACGUGGGUGAUCUGCCCUGUACUUCGGGAUAAGCUUGGGAAACUGGGUCUAAUACCGGAUAGGACCAUGGUUUAGUGUCUCAUGGUGGAAAAAUAUUGUUUUGGUGCAGGAUGAGCUCGCGGCCUAUCAGCUUGUUGGUGGGGUAAUGGCCUACCAAGGCGUCGACGGGUAGCCGGCCUGAGAGGGUGGACGGCCACAUUGGGACUGAGAUACGGCCCAGACUCCUACGGGAGGCAGCAGUGGGGAAUAGUGCACAAUGGGCGCAAGCCUGAUGCAGCGACGCCGCGUGGGGGAUGACGGCCUUCGGGUGGUAAACUCCUUUCGUUAGGGACGAAGCCACACCUUUUUUGGGUGUGGUGACGGUACCUUUGUUAAGAAGCACCGGCUAACUACGUG
Molecule: ribosomal RNA, 488 nt
Filed under: uncultured bacterium
Lineage: Bacteria
Description: partial 16S ribosomal RNA
Rfam family: Bacterial small subunit ribosomal RNA
Source: RNAcentral